GACAGCAGCAGCCGCGGGAAUACGUAGGGUGCAAGCGUUAAUCGGAAUUACUGGGCGUAAAGCGUGCGUAGGUGGUGGUUUAAGUCCGUUGUGAAAGCCCUGGGCUCAACCUGGGAAUUGCAGUGGAUACUGGGUCACUAGAGUGUGGUAGAGGAUAGUGGAAUUUCCGGUGUAGCAGUGAAAUGCGUAGAGAUCGGAAGGAACAUCUGUGGCGAAGGCGACUAUCUGGGCCAACACUGACACUGAGGCACGAAAGCGUGGGGAGCAAACAGGAUUAGAUACCCCGGUAGUCCCUGUCUCUUAUAC
RNAcentral lists this ribosomal RNA (306 nucleotides) under uncultured bacterium. Its description in RNAcentral is "partial 16S ribosomal RNA". It matches the Rfam family "Bacterial small subunit ribosomal RNA", at positions 507 to 807 of the family's 1533-position model. The record is from RNAcentral.